This 301-nucleotide ribosomal RNA is filed under the name uncultured bacterium. RNAcentral describes it as "partial 16S ribosomal RNA". It matches the Rfam family "Bacterial small subunit ribosomal RNA", at positions 509 to 807 of the family's 1533-position model. The record is from RNAcentral.
CAGUAGCCACGGGAAUACGUAGGGUGCAAGCGUUAAUCGGAAUUACUGGGCGUAAAGCGUGCGCAGGCGGUUUGUUAAGACAGAUGUGAAAUCCCCGGGCUCAACCUGGGAACUGCAUUUGUGACUGGCAAGCUAGAGUAUGGCAGAGGGGGGUGGAAUUCCGCGUGUAGCAGUGAAAUGCGUAGAUAUGCGGAGGAACACCGAUGGCGAAGGCAGCCCCCUGGGCCAAUACUGACGCUCAUGCACGAAAGCGUGGGGAGCAAACAGGAUUAGAUACCCGAGUAGUCCCUGUCUCUUAUAC